GCCGACGUGGCGGAACUGGCAGACGCGCAUGGCUUAGGACCAUGUGGGGUAACUCGUGGGGGUUCAAGUCCCUCCGUCGGCA
Molecule: transfer RNA, 82 nt
Filed under: Deltaproteobacteria bacterium RIFCSPHIGHO2_02_FULL_40_11
Lineage: Bacteria; Deltaproteobacteria
Description: tRNA-Leu
Rfam family: tRNA
About the family: Transfer RNA (tRNA) molecules are approximately 80 nucleotides in length. Their secondary structure includes four short double-helical elements and three loops (D, anti-codon, and T loops). Further hydrogen bonds mediate the characteristic L-shaped molecular structure. tRNAs have two regions of fundamental functional importance: the anti-codon, which is responsible for specific mRNA codon recognition, and the 3' end, to which the tRNAs corresponding amino acid is attached (by aminoacyl-tRNA synthetases). tRNAs cope with the degeneracy of the genetic code in two manners: having more than one tRNA (with a specific anti-codon) for a particular amino acid; and 'wobble' base-pairing, i.e. permitting non-standard base-pairing at the 3rd anti-codon position.
Source: RNAcentral